RNAcentral lists this long non-coding RNA (342 nucleotides) under Vigna radiata. RNAcentral's name for it is "long non-coding RNA (VRAD_LNC009519)". Lineage: Eukaryota; Viridiplantae; Streptophyta; Magnoliopsida; Fabales; Fabaceae. The record is from RNAcentral.
UCACUUUUCGAUUCCAUUCAGUAACCUUACCUUCAAUGUUUUUUAGAUUUUUAUCAGCCUCAUCACAUUGAUGAUCUAUCUUAUCUUUUUCAUUUUCAAGAUCCUUAAUACUAUCCUUCAGUUCAUGAACACUUUGCUUAUAACGGACGAUGUAAGUCACCUGUCUCCAUACAAAACUAAUCGCUUCUACUCCAACUUUUACUAAGGGCGCUAACCAACCCAUCCUGGGAGCUUGGUUAUCUUCUACAAGAUGGGACUACAUCCCUUUAUCAACAAAACGUAAGUGGAAAAUAUCAAUCAGUAACUAAAUAAAAGAAAAAAAAAAGGAUAACAUUUAAUGAG